Molecule: ribosomal RNA, 378 nt
Filed under: uncultured eukaryote
Lineage: Eukaryota
Description: partial 18S ribosomal RNA
Rfam family: Eukaryotic small subunit ribosomal RNA
Source: RNAcentral
CAAUAGCGUAUAUUUAAGUUGUUGCAGUUAAAAAGCUCGUAGUUGGAUUUCGGGUUGGCUUCAGCGGUCUCGCUUUGCGUUUGUACUGCCGCAGCCUUCCUUCUUGCUGGGGACGGUCCUCCGGGCUUCAUUGCUUGGGGUCUGGAAUCAGCGACGUUACUUUGAGUAAAUUAGAGUGUUCGAAGCAAGCCUACGCUCUGAAUAUAAUAGCAUGGGAUAACACGACAGGACUCUGGCCUACCGUGUUGGUCUGUAGGACCAGAGUAAUGAUUAAGAGGGACAGUCGGGGGCAUUCGUAUUCCGUUGUCAGAGGUGAAAUUCUUGGAUUUACGGAAGACGAACAUCUGCGAAAGCAUUUGCCAAGGAUGUUUUCAUUGA